GUUGCCCAGCUAUGCAACCCAAGAGGGGGGGUGAAUUGGGUUUCUAAAAAUUUUAAGCCCAACAAGUAACUUAUGAAGAACAAAACAAUGGCUUUAAAUCAAUAUUAAUUACCUAAAGUAGUAUUGCAAUGAUAUAAUAAAGAAAUAAUAUAAAGCGAUAAAGCACACCACAAACACAAGGAUUUAUAGUGGUUCGGUGCUAACCUUGCACCUACAUCCACUCUCCAA
Molecule: long non-coding RNA, 228 nt
Filed under: Elaeis guineensis (African oil palm)
Lineage: Eukaryota; Viridiplantae; Streptophyta; Magnoliopsida; Arecales; Arecaceae
Description: long non-coding RNA (EGUI_LNC026573)
Source: RNAcentral